CAGGGCGGUUCAGGGAGUGGACGGGUGGUGUGCAGGGUGUGGUAGAAUGAAGAAGUAUUGCCUUGUUCAUUCUCUGCCUUUCAGUUUGAUCUGUGAAGUGAUUUUUCCAGAGGCUCCGGGCCCUCAGCUCUUGUGUUCACCUCACAGUGGGCCCUGGGCCUUUGGGCCUCUCAUCAGGCCCCAGCCAGGCUCUUUGCUCAGUGGGUAGCUCCAUCUGCAGUGCUAAUCUGCCUCAACUGACUUUCUGAGGGGAAAACAGGCAGGAAGUGCUGCCACUGACCAGGCUGAAAGCAGGCAGGAAGGUGCUCCUGACUCCCUGUGGCCUGCUGGUCCAGCUCCAGGCUCAGGUGGCCUCAGGAUAGGUGACUCAGCUUCCAGCAGUCUACAUCCAACUAGGAAAGACAAAGCCAGGGUGAUGCCCAGGGGCUGGUAUGGUGGUGCCCGCCUCAGUACCAGCGCUGGAGCGGUGGAUCUCUGGUCACAGCCUUAAGAAGGUUCAGCACUACUGACAGAGAUCCAGACCAGUCAAGAUUACACAGUGAGACCCUGUCUCAAGACAAAAAUGAAAACGAAAACAAAAGAAUGAUGCGAGGGCGAGGCAUUUGGAAAAGGGAGUGUGGCUCAGGCUCUGUCUGCCAG
Molecule: long non-coding RNA, 639 nt
Filed under: Cricetulus griseus (Chinese hamster)
Lineage: Eukaryota; Metazoa; Chordata; Mammalia; Rodentia; Cricetidae
Description: lncRNA (ENSCGRG00015037727.1)
Source: RNAcentral